RNAcentral lists this ribosomal RNA (522 nucleotides) under Mochlus sundevallii (Peters' eyelid skink). Its description in RNAcentral is "Mochlus sundevalli partial large subunit ribosomal RNA". It matches the Rfam family "Bacterial large subunit ribosomal RNA", at positions 1817 to 2601 of the family's 2925-position model. The record is from RNAcentral. Lineage: Eukaryota; Metazoa; Chordata; Lepidosauria; Squamata; Scincidae.
AGCCUUUAGCCAAACAAGUAUUAAAGGUCCCGCCUGCCCAGUGAAACUUUUCAACGGCCGCGGUAUUCUAACCGUGCAAAGGUAGCGUAAUCACUUGUCUUCUAAAUAAAGACUAGUAUGAACGGCUAAAUGAGGACAAACCUGUCUCAUAUGACCAAUCAGUGAAACUGAUCUCCCAGUACAAAAGCUGGGAUUAACACAUAAGACGAGAAGACCCUGUGGAGCUUAAAAUUUACCACUACAACAUACACCCUAGUCGAAAAUUUUAAGUUGGGGCGACUUUGGAAAAAAACACAACUUCCAAGCACGGGGUACCACCCCACCCUAGGCCAACAAGCCAAAGCAAUCAAAACGACCCAGUCAUACUGACCAACGAACCAAGUUACCCCAGGGAUAACAGCGCCMUCUUCUUCAAGAGUCCAUAUCGACAAGAAGGUUUACGACCUCGAUGUUGGAUCAGGACGCCCAAAUGGUGCAGCCGCUAUUAAUGGUUCGUUUGUUCAACGAUUAACAGUCCUACGU